Molecule: ribosomal RNA, 429 nt
Filed under: Chloroflexota bacterium
Lineage: Bacteria; Bacillati; Chloroflexota
Description: Chloroflexi bacterium partial 16S ribosomal RNA
Rfam family: Bacterial small subunit ribosomal RNA
Source: RNAcentral
UGGGGAAUAUUGCACAAUGGGCGCAAGCCUGAUGCAGCCAUGCCGCGUGUAUGAAGAAGGCCUUCGGGUUGUAAAGUACUUUCAGCGGGGAGGAAGGGAGUAAAGUUAAUACCUUUGCUCAUUGACGUUACCCGCAGAAGAAGCACCGGCUAACUCCGUGCCAGCAGCCGCGGUAAUACGGAGGGUGCAAGCGUUAAUCGGAAUUACUGGGCGUAAAGCGCACGCAGGCGGUCUGUCAAGUCGGAUGUGAAAUCCCCGGGCUCAACCUGGGAACUGCAUUCGAAACUGGCAGGCUAGAGUCAUGUAGAGGGGGGUAGAAUGCCAGGUGUAGCGGUGAAAUGCGUAGAGAUCUGGAGGAAUACCGGUGGCGAAGGCGGCCCCCUGGACAAAGACUGACGCUCAGGUGCGAAAGCGUGGGAAGCAAACAGG